Molecule: ribosomal RNA, 654 nt
Filed under: uncultured beta proteobacterium
Lineage: Bacteria; Pseudomonadati; Pseudomonadota; Betaproteobacteria
Description: bacterial SSU rRNA
Rfam family: Bacterial small subunit ribosomal RNA
Source: RNAcentral
AGAGUUUGAUCCUGGCUCAGGACGAACGCUGGCGGCGUGCUUAACACAUGCAAGUCGAACGGUGGAGAGGAGCUUGCUCCUUGGAUCAGUGGUGAACGGGUGAGUAACACGUGAGCAAUCUGCCCUUGACUCUGGGAUAACUGCGGGAAACUGUAGCUAAUACCGGAUAUUACCUUGGAAGGCAUCUUCUGGGGUGGAAAGAAUUUUGGUCAAGGAUGAGCUCGCGGCCUAUCAGCUAGUUGGUGAGGUAAAAGCUCACCAAGCCGACGAUCUGUAGCUGGUUUGAGAGAACGACCAGCCACACUGGGACUGAGACACGGCCCAGACUCCUACGGGAGGCAGCAGUGGGGAAUUUUGGACAAUGGGCGAAAGCCUGAUCCAGCAAUGCCGCGUGUGGGAAGAAGGCCUUCGGAUUGUAAACCACUUUUGUACGGAACGAAACGGUUCGCUUUAAUACAGUGGGCUAAUGACGGUACCGUAAGAAUAAGCACCGGCUAACUACGUGCCAGCAGCCGCGGUAAUACGUAGGGUGCGAGCGUUAAUCGGAAUUACUGGGGCGUAAAGCGUGCGCAGGCGGUUAUUAUAAAACAGUUNGUGAAAAUNCCCGGGCUCAACCUGGGAAUUUGGAUCUUGUGAACUGUAUAGCUAGAAGUA